GGCAUCGUCGCUCAGUUGGCUAGAGUGGUGGCUGUACUAAAGCCUUCCCAUUGCUGGCGUGGGUUCGAAUCCCACCGAGGCCA
This is a non-coding RNA of Schistocephalus solidus, 83 nucleotides long. NCBI's taxonomy places the organism in Eukaryota, Metazoa, Platyhelminthes, Cestoda, Diphyllobothriidea, Diphyllobothriidae. The record is from Rfam.